Molecule: long non-coding RNA, 396 nt
Filed under: Rattus norvegicus (Norway rat)
Lineage: Eukaryota; Metazoa; Chordata; Mammalia; Rodentia; Muridae
Description: long non-coding RNA NONRATT025121
Source: RNAcentral
ACAAACUGCUUCCUCCUGGGGUACAACUCUGGGAUGGAGAACAAGGUCUCACCCUUGUACAUGGUGGCCGCGUCACCUGGGAUACAGCCUCGCCGCCGCCCGGCUGGCGCCGGAGGGGCGGGGCUUCCGCCGGACGAGGGACCCUAAGGACUCCGCGGUUCCAACCCCUGCUGCGCUCGCGGCCUGCCCGGACUUGACGCUUCCUGCAGUAACCCCCCAUGAAACCCUCACGCUGUGCUUUGAUUGGAGUAACUGGGCACAAUCCUGUAGGACAGACCUGUUCCAAACGACCUUGGCUAGCACAAUGAAGCUGAAACACAGCGGGUCCUAGCUUGAUUUUGGGGAGUUCGAUUAAUGGAAGAGAUUAUGGGCACGGAAAUAAAAUGUUUCUGGGCA